Molecule: ribosomal RNA, 468 nt
Filed under: uncultured bacterium
Lineage: Bacteria
Description: partial 16S ribosomal RNA
Rfam family: Bacterial small subunit ribosomal RNA
Source: RNAcentral
GACGAACGCUGGCGGCGUGCUUAACACAUGCAAGUCGAACGGAAAGGCCCUCUUUUGGGGUGGUCGUCGGGCGACCGAGGGAGGAGUAAGAGGUUAAUAUCCUCUCGUCUAUUGUGGGACUACAUGAAACAGCGGGUGAUAACACCUGGGAGGACCUGCUGCUUCGUGGGGGGUGGUGGAUAUCUUCGGCGGUUGGUGGUGUACUCGCGGCUUAUCAGCUUGUUGGUGGGGUAGUGGCUUACCAAGGCUUUGACGGGUAGCCGGCCUGAGAGGGUGACCGGCCACAUUGGGACUGAGAUACGGCCCAGACUCCUACGGGAGGCAGCAGUGGGGAAUAUUGCACAAUGGGCGGAAGCCUGAUGCAGCAACGCCGCGUGCGGGAUGACGGCCUUCGGGUUGUAAACCGCUUUCGCCUGUGACGAAGCGUGAGUGACGGUAAUGGGUAAAGAAGCACCGGCUAACUACGUG